This 450-nucleotide ribosomal RNA is filed under the name uncultured bacterium. Its description in RNAcentral is "bacterial SSU rRNA". It matches the Rfam family "Bacterial small subunit ribosomal RNA", at positions 329 to 793 of the family's 1533-position model. The record is from RNAcentral.
UACCAGACUCCUACGGGAGGCAGCAGUGGGGAAUAUUGGGCAAUGGGCGCAAGCCUGACCCAGCAAUGCCGCGUGAAGGAAGAAGGCCCUCGGGUUGUAAACUUCUUUUAUCAGGGACGAAGGAUGUGACGGUACCUGAUGAAUAAGCUCCGGCUAACUACGUGCCAGCAGCCGCGGUAAUACGUAGGGAGCAAGCGUUAUCCGGAUUUACUGGGUGUAAAGGGCGCGUAGGCGGGAUGGCAAGUCAGAUGUGAAAUCCGGGGGCUCAACCCCUGAACUGCAUUUGAAACUGUCGUUCUUGAGUACAGGAGAGGUUGACGGAAUUCCUAGUGUAGCGGUGAAAUGCGUAGAUAUUAGGAGGAACACCAGAGGAGAAGGGGGUCAACUGGACAGCAACUGACGCAGAGGCGCGAAAGCGUGGGGAGCAAACAGGAAUAGAUACACGAGAAA